CCUACGGGUCGCAGCAGUGGGGCAUAUUGCACAAUGGGCGCAAGCCUGAUGCAGCCAUGCCGCGUGUAUGAAGAAGGCCUUCGGGUUGUAAAGUACUUUCAGCGAGGAGGAAGGCAUUAAGGUUAAUAACCUUGGUGAUUGACGUUACUCGCAGAAGAAGCACCGGCUAACUCCGUGCCAGCAGCCGCGGUAAUACGGAGGGUGCAAGCGUUAAUCGGAAUUACUGGGCGUAAAGCGCACGCAGGCGGUUUGUUAAGUCGGAUGUGAAAUCCCCGGGCUCAACCUGGGAACUGCAUUCGAAACUGGCAAGCUUGAGCCUUGUAGAGGGGGGUAGAAUUCCAGGUGUAGCGGUGAAAUGCAUAGAGAUCUGGAGGAAUACCGGUGGCGAAGGCGGCCCCCUGGACAAAGACUGACGCUCAGGUGCGAAAGCGUGGGGAGCAAACAGGAUUAGAUACCCGUGUAGUC
Molecule: ribosomal RNA, 465 nt
Filed under: uncultured bacterium
Lineage: Bacteria
Description: bacterial SSU rRNA
Rfam family: Bacterial small subunit ribosomal RNA
Source: RNAcentral